AUACGGAGGAUCCGAGCGUUAUCCGGAUUUAUUGGGUUUAAAGGGUGCGCAGGCGGCCAUUUAAGUCAGCGGUUAAAUCGUGGGGCUCAACCCCAUUCUGCCGUUGAUACUGGGUGGCUUGAUUGCGGUCGAGGUUGGCGGAAUUCGUUGUGUAGCGGUGAAAUGCAUAGAUAUGACGAAGAACACCGAUUGCGUAGGCAGCUGACCAGACCGCAAAUGACGCUCAUGCACGAAAGUGCGGGGAUCGAACAUGAUUAGAUACCCUGGUAGUCCGCACAGUAAACGAUGAAUACUUGUUUUCGGCGAUAUAAUGUCGGAGGCAAAGCGAAAGCGAUAAGUAUUCCACCUGGGGAGUACGCCGGCAACGGUGAAACUCAAAGGAAUUGACGGGG
Molecule: ribosomal RNA, 392 nt
Filed under: uncultured bacterium
Lineage: Bacteria
Description: partial 16S ribosomal RNA
Rfam family: Bacterial small subunit ribosomal RNA
Source: RNAcentral